ACGGUGUCUUCGGGCACAGUGGCGGACGGGUGAGUAACGCGUGAGAAUCUGGCUCUAGGUCUGGGACAACCACUGGAAACGGUGGCUAAUACCGGAUGUGCCCUUCGGGGUGAAAGAUUAAUUGCCUGGAGAUGAGCUCGCGUCUGAUUAGCUAGUAGGUGUGGUAAAGGCGCACCUAGGCMACGAUMAGUAACUGGUCUGAGAGGACGAUCAGCCACACUGGGACUGAGACACGGCCCAGACUCCUACGGGAGGCAGCAGUGGGGAAUUUUCCGCAAUGGGCGAAAGCCUGACGGAGCAAUACCGCGUGAGGGAGGAAGGCUCUUGGGUCGUAAACCUCUUUUCUCAGGGAAGAACACAAUGACGGUACCUGAGGAAUAAGCAUCGGCUAACUCCGUGCCAGCAGCCGCGGUAAUACGGAGGAUGCAAGCGUUAUCCGGAAUGAUUGGGCGUAAAGCGUCCGCAGGUGGCAAUGUAAGUCUGCUGUUAAAGAGUGAGGCUCAACCUCAUAAGAGCAGUGGAAACUACAUAGCUAGAGUACGUUCGGGGCAGAGGGAAUUCCUGGUGUAGCGGUGAAAUGCGUAGAGAUCAGGAAGAACACCGGUGGCGAAGGCGCUCUGCUAGGCCGUAACUGACACUGAGGGACGAAAGCUAGGGGAGCGAAU
Molecule: ribosomal RNA, 665 nt
Filed under: Nostoc sp. ANT.L36.1
Lineage: Bacteria; Bacillati; Cyanobacteriota; Cyanophyceae; Nostocales; Nostocaceae
Description: bacterial SSU rRNA
Rfam family: Bacterial small subunit ribosomal RNA
Source: RNAcentral